Molecule: ribosomal RNA, 253 nt
Filed under: uncultured bacterium
Lineage: Bacteria
Description: partial 16S ribosomal RNA
Rfam family: Bacterial small subunit ribosomal RNA
Source: RNAcentral
UACGAAGGGGGCUAGCGUUGCUCGGAAUCACUGGGCGUAAAGCGCACGUAGGCGGUCUGUCGCGUCGGAUGUGAAAACCCAGGGCUCAACCCUGGGCCUGCAUUCGAUACGGGCAGACUAGAGUUCGGUAGGGGAGACUGGAAUUCCUGGUGUAGCGGUGAAAUGCGCAGAUAUCAGGAGGAACACCGGUGGCGAAGGCGGGUCUCUGGGCCGAAACUGACGCUGAGGAGCGAAAGCGUGGGGAGCAAACAGG